AAAAAGGGUGGUAAUGCCGGAUGUUCCAGUUGAUCGCAUGGUCUUCUGGGAAAGCUUUCGCGGUAUGGGAUGGGGUCGCGUCCUAUCAGCUUGACGGCGGGGUAACGGCCCACCGUGGCUUCGACGGGUAGCCGGCCUGAGAGGGCGACCGGCCACAUUGGGACUGAGAUACGGCCCAGACUCCUACGGGAGGCAGCAGUGGGGAAUAUUGCACAAUGGGCGCAAGCCUGAUGCAGCGACGCCGCGUGAGGGAUGGAGGCCUUCGGGUUGUAAACCUCUUUUAUCGGGGAGCAAGCGAGAGUGAGUUUACCCGUUGAAUAAGCACCGGCUAACUACGUGCCAGCAGCCGCGGUAAUACGUAGGGUGCAAGCGUUAUCCGGAAUUAUUGGGCGUAAAGGGCUCGUAGGCGGUUCGUCGCGUCCGGUGUGAAAGUCCAUCGCUUAACGGUGGAUCCGCGCCGGGUACGGGCGGGCUUGAGUGCGGUAGGGGAGACUGGAAUUCCCGGUGUAACGGUGGAAUGUGUAGAUAUCGAA
RNAcentral lists this ribosomal RNA (533 nucleotides) under Bifidobacterium longum. Its description in RNAcentral is "bacterial SSU rRNA". It matches the Rfam family "Bacterial small subunit ribosomal RNA", at positions 153 to 701 of the family's 1533-position model. Lineage: Bacteria; Bacillati; Actinomycetota; Actinomycetes; Bifidobacteriales; Bifidobacteriaceae. The record is from RNAcentral.